UUCAGUUUGGUGACAGCAUGGGCAUGUGCUGGUGGAGCUAGACAGGAGUCGCUGUGAAACUUCCCUGUUUGAGCCGUCUGAUGGAGUUUGAACAGCAGCCGAGAUGGGUGGGAGCUGAAGGAGCUGCUGGAGUUAGAGGGAAUUUUAAAAAGGAAGUGCCUUUUAAUUCCAACUUGUGAUGUGCUCCCUGGACUGAAAUCUUACCUUGAAAUAGUGAUGCGUCAGGAGAAGCAGAAACCUCACACUUCAGGUACGACUGUAAGCAUUUCUGCUGCAGCUUCUCAUCAGAUGAGCCACUGCAUCCUGGGACACCACUCUCCCCUCCAGUACGAUGAAGACCAACGCCUGAUGCUGCUCCAUCACCAGCAGAAGAACAGCAGCUCUGCAGAGACCCGUCCUGCCAGCAGAGCAUCACGGAGAAGAAGACGCGCCUUCUGCUCACAGGAAGACGAGACCUUGCACUUCACUUGACCCCCUCCUCCAGGAGGAAGCAGGAUCAGCGCCCGGUGCUGCCCCAGUGCCGGCAGAAGAACAGCGGCUCUUGGAAGCGUGACCUGCUGGGAGAUCGUCGGGGAGAAGAGGACGCGCCUUCUGCGCCGAGGGAGCCUUCUCCUGUAAUCCCACCUUCAAUGAGACGAUGCUCAGCUGCUCCGGAACAGCCACGGAGGGAACGGACGGAAGAGGAGAGCCCAGAUGACUGCGCCCGUGUGAAGUGCCAUGCAGAGACUGAAUGCAGAGACUGAGCCAGCAAACAACGGAGUAGAUAGCAUAGAGAAUUAGUUAACACUAAAAUGUAUUAGUAUAGCAUAGUGCAGUUGUCAAAUAGCUUUGUAAAUAAAUUCACUUUGUUUGUAUCCUUAUCUUGUGUUGUGUAAAAUGAUGGGGAUGGGUAGUCUGAUACUUCAGGAAAUAAAUGAUUUGGA
RNAcentral lists this long non-coding RNA (923 nucleotides) under Gallus gallus (chicken). Its description in RNAcentral is "lncRNA (ENSGALG00010028228.1)". Lineage: Eukaryota; Metazoa; Chordata; Aves; Galliformes; Phasianidae. The record is from RNAcentral.